CAAUAGCUAGUUCCAGGACAGCCUCCAAAGCCACAGAGAAACCCUGCCUCGAAAAACCAAAAAAAAAAAAAAAAAAAAAAAGAGAGAGAGAGAGAGAGAAGGCUCACCAUGAAGGUUUCACAUCUCUCCUCCAGUUGUCCUGGGAUGGAAAUCUGGAUACCCCAGGCCUGUUGCACAGGGAAGGAGGCAGGACCGACUGUAUCAUUUGCAGAGCCCAUUGUAAAGUGAAAACCUGGGACCUCCAAAUUACUCAGCAAAGCAAGAACAAAACAAAGAAAGCCCAAGGGCCUGCCCAAAUCCAUCUCUGUCUAGCACACAACAUGGAGUCUGCAACCCAAGGCUGGGCAGCCAAGGUAAACAGAGAGGUUUCCUCACCUCACCCAGGAGGGAAUUCCCAGGCAACGCCACCAUACUCCUCUCUGGCUCCAAGGUGGCAGCUGCCAAGAUGCCUCUGGGUCCCCUUGCUUCUCUGGAAACCAGGACUUUGUGCUCUCCAGGCCUCCUCAGUGAGGGGAGGGAACAGGACUUUGUGCUCUCCAGGCCUCCUCUGUGAGGGGAGGGAACAGGACUUUGUGCUCUCCAGGCCUCCUCAGUGAGGGGAGGGAACAGGUUGGAGCUGUGUCAUGAGACAUGGAAGAACAAAAUAAAGACAGAGCUGAGAAGGGAGUACGGACAUCCAGAGAUCUGAGCCCAAAAGUCCGGGGACACCUGUGGUAUGUCUGUACAACAGAAAAUCUUCAGCAGCAAAGGCACACAUGACCACAUGCAUAUAGAACCACAUAUAGACAGCUUAAAACCACUGUGAUAGGUCAGCCAUGUGGCACACAUCAGAAAAUCUCAUCAGUAGAGAGGCUGGGCAGGAACAUUGCAGCAAGGUCUGGGCCAGCCUGGGCUGCAAAGUGAAAUCCUGUCUCAAGCAUAUGAAGAAAUAAUCGUGCUGGAUGAAAGAGAUAAGAUACAAAAAAGCUCA
This is a long non-coding RNA of Mesocricetus auratus (golden hamster), 970 nucleotides long. RefSeq lists it as uncharacterized. The record is from RefSeq and is a predicted model, not a curated record. Lineage: Eukaryota; Metazoa; Chordata; Mammalia; Rodentia; Cricetidae. The transcript is spliced from 2 exons.